UGGCUCAGAACGAACGCUGGCGGCGUGCUUAACACAUGCAAGUCGAACGAGGUCCAUCCAGUGGCAACACUGGUGAAGACCUAGUGGCGAACGGGUGAGUAACACGUGAGGAACCUGCCCCGAAGACCGGGAUAACCCUCCGAAAGGAGAGCUAAUACCGGAUGCCCUUUCCGGACUGCAUGAUCCGGCAAGGAAAUGGAUUCCGCUUUGGGAGGGUCUCGCGGCUUAUCAGCUCGUUGGUGGGGUAACGGCCCACCAAGGCUUGGAAAGGUAGCUGGUCUGAGAGGACGAUCAGCCACACUGGGAUUGACUCACGGCCCAAGAACCUACGGGAGGC
This 337-nucleotide ribosomal RNA is filed under the name uncultured Acidimicrobiales bacterium. RNAcentral describes it as "bacterial SSU rRNA". It matches the Rfam family "Bacterial small subunit ribosomal RNA", at positions 20 to 349 of the family's 1533-position model. Lineage: Bacteria; Bacillati; Actinomycetota; Acidimicrobiia; Acidimicrobiales. The record is from RNAcentral.